This 460-nucleotide ribosomal RNA is filed under the name uncultured bacterium. RNAcentral describes it as "partial 16S ribosomal RNA". It matches the Rfam family "Bacterial small subunit ribosomal RNA", at positions 338 to 795 of the family's 1533-position model. The record is from RNAcentral.
CCUACGGGAGGCUGCAGUGAGGAAUAUUGGUCAAUGGACGCGAGUCUGAACCAGCCAAGUAGCGUGAAGGAUGACUGCCCUCGGGGUUGUAAACUUCUUUUAUAUGGGAAUAAAAUGUUCCACGUGUGGGAUUUUGUAUGUACCAUAUGAAUAAGGAUCGGCGAACUCCGUGCCAUCAGCCGCGGUAAUACGGAGGAUCCGAGCGUUAUCCGGAUUUAUUGGGUUUAAAGGGAGCGUAGGGGGAUUGUUAAGUCAGUUGUGAAAGUUUGCGGCUCAACCGGAACAUUGCAGUUGAAACUGGCAGUCUUGAGUACAGUAGAGGUGGGCGGAAUUCGUGGUGUAGCGGUGAAAUGCUUAGAUAUCACGAAGAACUCCGAUUGCGAAGGCAGCUCACUGGACUGCAACUGACACUGAGGCUCGAAAGUGUGGGUAUCAAACAGGAUUAGAUACCCUUGUAGUC